AUUCCAAUGGCUAGUUUACAUUACUUUAUUCCUAUUGCCAAGCACGAAGACCAUAAACAAGGAUCGUUUCUCAUUAAACAGAUACCAAAUUAUUUUUAAAUUGAAUUUGCAUUUCAAUUAUUUGGUCUUCUUCCUCUGCUCUGUCCUUCUUCCUAUGAAGCCGCUGUACCGUUCAUACUCAUUACUCUUUCCUUUUUAUAAACCAAACCUUCUUCCAUUCUUCUACCAAUCCAACUUUCGGCUACUUUCCCUUCCACUUGAGCUGGAAAAAUGCUAAAAAACCAUUAUUUUUAAGCUUACUACUGCAAAACUAUGGCUGCUUCCAAUACUAAAAACAACCCAGAAGAGAUUGCAAUUCCUAUUUCUCCUCUUGCAAAAGAGCAAUCUCCUAAAAUGGGUCCUCAAAAUAAUGAAUUUGAGAAAAAACCCAUGAAUAAUUCUUCACAAUCUCCAGAAAUUUCUGGGUUUAGUGCAAGCCCUAAGAAACCUCCUUUAUACCCAACUCCUGAUUCACCCUUAAGAAGGAGACAAUCUUUUAAGAAUAAAACUAGAUUUGGUGAACCUUCAGUUCCUCUUGAUUCUCAAACCCUUGAUUAUAUAGCAAAUUCUCCUAGAUUUUUGAACCAAUCUUCUUUCAAAGAGAAGACUCCUAAGGCAGCUUCUGGAAGGUCAAAAGGGGAAGGAGGAGAAGAGAAGGAGAAACAGAAGGAAGGUCCAGAUGAGAAGGAGAUUUAUAGAAGAGUAACUGCUCAAUUAAGUGCUAGAAAAAGUUGGAGAAUGACAAUCAAAUUGGUACUUGAAUUGGUUGUUUUUUUGUGUAUUUUAAGUUGUUUGAUUUGUAGUUUAUUUGUUGAGGGUUUUAAGGGUAAAUUAUUUGGUGGGUUGGAUGUUUGGAAAUGGUUUGCACUUGCAUUGGUUAUAUUUUCUGGUAUGUUGGUAACUGGAUGGUUUGUGCAUUUGAUUGUGUUUUUCAUUGAAUGGAAAUUCUUGUUGAAGAAAAAUGUGGUGUAUUUUACUCAUGGAUUACAGUCUAAUGUUCAAAUAUUUUUAUGGGUUCUUGUGGUUCUUAUAACAUGGGUUGUAUUGUUUAAACAUGAUUCAAAAACUGCCCCAAAAAUGAGCCAAAAAUGGAAGGAUAUACUUGAUUUCAUGACAUGGACUAUAGCUUCUUUGCUAAUAGGAUCCUUUUUAUGGUUAGUUAAGACUACCUUGAUAAAGAUGUUGGCAUCAUCCUUUCACUUAAAUAGGUUUUUUGAGAGGAUUCAGGAGGCUGUGUUUGAUCACUAUGCGCUUGAAACACUAUCAGGGAGUCCUGUCGUUGAAAUGGCUCGAAAACUUAGUAGGAAUGAGAGUCGUGAUCCUCAGGUUAGUUUUACGGAGCAUAUGGGUGAUCAUACAGAGAAAAGAGUGGUUGAUUGGGGUAAACUUCAUCAAAUGAAGAAGGAGAAAGUGCCUUCUUGGACUAUGAAGUUGUUGGUUGAUGUGAUUUCGAAUUCAGGGUUAUCGACUAUGUCGAAUAUUCUUAACCAAGAUAUGGUUGAAGGAGGGGUUGAAUUGGAUGAUGAUGAAAUUACGUGCGAGGAAGAAGCUAUCGCCACUGCUGUUAGGAUCUUCUACAAUGUGAUCGGUGAUAAGUCCGAACUGUACCUAGAUAGAGGUGACCUCCAUAGGUUCAUGAUUUGGGAAGAGGUGUCUCUUAUUUAUCAAAAUUUUGAUGUCAAUGAUAAAGGGCAAGUUGAUUUGAAAGCUUUUUCUAAGUGGGUGGUUAAAGUUUUUAAAGACCGGCAAUCAUUGAAACAUGCUUUAAACGACAACAAAACUGCUGUGGAUGAGUUGAACAAGUUGCUGAAUGGAAUCCUGAUUGUCAUAAUAAUCAUCCUCUGGCUUCUACUGACGGAAAUUGUCACGACAAAAAUUCUUCUCUUCUUCUCUUCUCAACUUCUCGUAGCAGUUUUUGUGUUCGGAAACACUUGCAGGACCAUUUUUGAGGCGAUCAUAUUUGUUUUCGUUAUGCACCCAUUUGAUGUUGGUGAUCGCUGUGUCAUUGAUGGAUCAUUGAUGAUUGUUGAAGAAAUGAAUAUCUUGAAUACAAUAUUCCUGAAAAUCGACAAGGAAAAGGUCUAUUAUCCGAAUUCAGUUUUGGCUACUAAAGCCAUUGGCAACUAUUACCGGAGUCCAGAUCAGGGAGAUUCAUUAGAGUUCGGGAUUGAUUAUAAAACACCAUUGCCUAAGAUUGCAGAGCUAAAAGAACGAAUAAAACGGUAUGUGGAGCAAACUCCUCAAUAUUGGCACCCUGAACAUAGUUUGGUUAUCAAAGAGAUUGAGAAUGUCAAUAAGAUGAAAAUGGCUAUAUUUUUCACUCAUACAAUGAACUUCCAAGACCUUGUUGCAAAGGGACAGCGAAAAACCGAGUUUAUCUUGGAAUUGAAGACGAUAUUUGAUGAUCUAGAAAUCUCAUACCACCUUCUGCCGCAAGAGAUUCAUCUUACUAAAAUGCCUUCAAAUGUCUGAUUUCGUUUCGGAUUUGUUCGUUUGCUAUCUGCAGCAGCAAGUAAGGCCUCUUUAAUCCCCAAGUGUUUGAUGGAUCGGAUGCGCGAUGACCGAUGAGUGAUGCUGUUGAAGUUCCUUUAUGUUCUGCUGGCAUGAUUGCCUGUGCUAAGAGAUGGAUGGUAACUUGUGAACAUAUAGUUUUGAUGCCCUAGAUUUUUGCAGUUGUAGUUUAUUUGUUGUGCAAAUGUAUUUGGCAAGUCAAUGCAAGCUUAGCCAAACAAUUAGAUUGUAUAUAGAUGUUUGGUAAAAUAACUUAUUGAAAAACAACUUAUAGCUAUGAAUUAGUUAUUUUUAAACAAAU
Amaranthus tricolor (Joseph's coat) is the source of this 2851-nucleotide RNA transcript. It is a transcript of the gene named mechanosensitive ion channel protein 10-like, with no coding region annotated. NCBI's taxonomy places the organism in Eukaryota, Viridiplantae, Streptophyta, Magnoliopsida, Caryophyllales, Amaranthaceae. The transcript is spliced from 6 exons. The record is from RefSeq and is a predicted model, not a curated record.